CCCCCCCCCCCUCCCCUCCUACCUAUGGCUGGAAACAACAUCAGAGCUGUGACAAACAGGGAGCAGCCUUCUGUAGCCCACCCACAUUUCCAUCAAAGGAGCAAGUCUAUGUCAGUGAGAAGAAAGCUGGCCCACCCUCCCACC
This is a long non-coding RNA of Alosa alosa (allis shad), 144 nucleotides long. RefSeq lists it as uncharacterized. The transcript is spliced from 3 exons. Lineage: Eukaryota; Metazoa; Chordata; Actinopteri; Clupeiformes; Clupeidae. The record is from RefSeq and is a predicted model, not a curated record.